UACGAAGGGUGCAAGCGUUAAUCGGAAUUACUGGGCGUAAAGCGCGCGUAGGUGGUUCGUUAAGUUGGAUGUGAAAGCCCCGGGCUCAACCUGGGAGCUGCAUCCAAAACUGGCGAGCUAGAGUAUGGCAGAGGGUGGUGGAAUUUCCUGUGUAGCGGUGAAAUGCGUAGAUAUAGGAAGGAACACCAGUGGCGAAGGCGACCAUCUGGGCUAAUACUGACACUGAGGUGCGAAAGCGUGGGGAGCAAACAGG
This 253-nucleotide ribosomal RNA is filed under the name uncultured microorganism. RNAcentral's name for it is "partial 16S ribosomal RNA". It matches the Rfam family "Bacterial small subunit ribosomal RNA", at positions 524 to 776 of the family's 1533-position model. The record is from RNAcentral.